Telopea speciosissima is the source of this 130-nucleotide long non-coding RNA. RefSeq lists it as uncharacterized. The transcript has 3 exons. The record is from RefSeq and is a predicted model, not a curated record. NCBI's taxonomy places the organism in Eukaryota, Viridiplantae, Streptophyta, Magnoliopsida, Proteales, Proteaceae.
AUUUAUCAGAAUUUUUUUUUAACUCCAUUACUUCUGGAUCUGCUGAUGAGAGAAGGCCAAGAUACUUGGAUUUUUUACCUUUUAGCAAACAUUCUAUUCAUUUUAAUCAACUUAAUCAUACAUGUUUGUC